RNAcentral lists this ribosomal RNA (466 nucleotides) under uncultured bacterium. RNAcentral describes it as "bacterial SSU rRNA". It matches the Rfam family "Bacterial small subunit ribosomal RNA", at positions 28 to 507 of the family's 1533-position model. The record is from RNAcentral.
GACGAACGCUGGCGGCGUGCUUAACACAUGCAAGUCGAACGGUGACGAGGAGCUUGCUCCUCUGAUCAGUGGCGAACGGGUGAGUAACACGUGAGCAACCUGCCCCAGACUCUGGGAUAACAGUUGGAAACAGCUGCUAAUACCGGAUACGAGACGGAGAGGCAUCUCUACCGUCUGGAAAGUUUUUCGGUCUGGGAUGGACUCGCGGCCUAUCAGCUAGUUGGUAAGGUAAUGGCUCACCAAGGCGACGACGGGUAGCCGGCCUGAGAGGGCGACCGGCCACACUGGGACUGAGACACGGCCCAGACUCCUACGGGAGGCAGCAGUGGGGAAUAUUGCACAAUGGGCGAAAGCCUGAUGCAGCGACGCCGCGUGAGGGAUGACGGCCUUCGGGUUGUAAACCUCUUUCAGCAGGGAAGAAGCGAAAGUGACGGUACCUGCAGAAGAAGCACCGGCUAACUACGUG